UACGUAGGGUCCAAGCGUUGUCCGGAAUUAUUGGGCGUAAAGAGCUCGUAGGCGGUUUGUCGCGUCUGCUGUGAGAACUCGGGGCUUAACCCCGGGCCUGCAGUGGGUACGGGCAGACUAGAGUGCGGUAGGGGAGACUGGAAUUCCUGGUGUAGCGGUGAAAUGCGCAGAUAUCAGGAGGAACACCGGUGGCGAAGGCGGGUCUCUGGGCCGUAACUGACGCUGAGGAGCGAAAGCGUGGGGAGCGAACAGG
RNAcentral lists this ribosomal RNA (253 nucleotides) under uncultured bacterium. RNAcentral's name for it is "partial 16S ribosomal RNA". It matches the Rfam family "Bacterial small subunit ribosomal RNA", at positions 524 to 776 of the family's 1533-position model. The record is from RNAcentral.